AUACAUUCAAAUUGAGGUAAAAUACACAGAAAUAAAGUAAACACACAAGAGGCUCUAGGUCGUCCCCGGCCUAAAUAAAGAAAAUGAAAAGGAAAUGAAGAGAAAAGUCCUAAGUUAACUUAUACUACGACUUCUCCACCAUGCUCGCCAAGGCCUCCAAUAUAUUUACAUAGUUCUUCGGGGCAUACCCCGUAUAAUAAUAUAUACAAAUUUCACGAGGCAUUCCCCGAAUAUAUUUAACUACGGGAACGACCUCUCGCCUCAAAUUAACAAAAAUCCUAAAGUUUUCCUACCAAUGUAUGGUCGGCCUAAGCAUACUCCUAUCGAUCAAAUCAAUAAAAUAAAAUAAUAAAUGUAUAACAUUCAAAUCUCAAUUUGUUUUUUUCUAUUCCAGCACCACUUCCCAACUUCAUUUCACUGAUCUUGACCAAAAUUUCUUUUCGAAAGAUUGUCAUUCCGCAACCCAUUUUGAUUGGAAGCUUUCAAAGCACUACUUCCUUACUCUUUCUUUUAGCUGGGCUUACUAACAAUAAAACGAUUCAACAAUAAUUCUCAAAUGGAAAACAACAGAAAUUCCAACCAGACAAAUGUAUGUAUAAUCUCAAUAACAUAUGGUUUCAAUUCAUAAAAACAACAGCAAAUACACACAUAGUUGAGGAGAAGAGUAAGAAAUAAACCUCGGUAUAGAUGGAAAUUGAUUACUUCACCGGUUUGAACUCAAAAAUAUGACGAACCGCGGACGGUACUCGAACGAACCAACCCCAAAUAGAAAUUCCAAUGAAUCGGAUUUGAAUUCAGUUCCAACACUUAGAGAAAAAUUCAUUUUAGGACCCAAAUUCUGAAAAUAAAAAGAUGAACAGAUUUUUCUUUUCUCAAUUCGUUUUUUUUCUCUUUACUUACUUUUCCCAUUUAGUUGACUUUAUGUGUGUACAGUUUUGCGAUCAGAUGAGUUGUGUGUGAUUCCUUGGUUUUUGAGUGGAGGAGCUAAUGGUGGGUUCGAGUGGUCGGUGACUAUGUUAUUUCGGCGAGAUUGUCACUGUUUCUGCUCGAUUUUUGGCGAACUGUGGUGGUCUCGAUAGCUUUCGCUGCCUGAUUUUUGGAGAAGAUGAAGCGAAGGGGGUGUCGUUUGGUCGAAGAAGAAUAGCGAUUGGUUGUAGGUUAUAUUGCGGCUGUCCUCGGCUCAACUCUACUGUUCAGAUUUUUUUCGGCCUUCAUUUUUCACAUUGUCGGCGUUACUUUUGGUCUCUCCCUUGAAAAAGCUGCACUCCUCUCCCUUUGUCUAGGUUCUAAGGAAGAAAGGUUAUGGUUGGUCUUUUAAGGUUUUUUCUAGGUUUGGGCUUUUGGUUUAGUGAGCUAAAGAAAAUUUGGGCCGAGAAUUGGACCUUUCAAGAUAUAAAAUUGGCACAAAAUUCAUUCUUCGUUUUCGAGUGUAAAAUCAAAGUAUCACAGAUAAUAAAAAACUAAUUAACAGUUGACUUUAACUGACAUGGAAUUAAAAUGAAAUUAUUAUUAUUACAUUUUUUCCAAAGACUAUACUAAAAAUAGAAUAAUUAGAUUAAAUUUCAUUGUAAAAUUAAAAUAAUAUUACUACCAAAACACUAAUAUCUUUGAAAACGAAGUAAAACUAUUUUUUGUAUUUUUGAAUUUUAUGAAAGAUAGAUAUACUAAAGUAACUAGCUAAAAGAAAAAAAUAUUUUUUGUAAUUUUUAUUUUUGUUUUAAAUUAAAGUAAAAUAGUUAAAAUUAGUUAAAAUAACGAUAUUAGGCCCUAUAUUUUUGCUAUUUUUUUUUGUUUUAAAUUAAAGUAAAAUAGUUAAAACUAGUUAAAGUAACGAUAUUAGGCCCUAACUAACUAUCUUAAGGCUAAAAUAUGUGAAAUUUCAGGGAGGGUAGAAAAUUACAUGUCUACAGCUACCCCUCUUUGACUGGAAAUACAAAGUAUUUUCAGACAAAGAACGACUAGACAUGUUUUUUGACCUAACCCUUAUUUGGAGAAAGUAAACUUAAGAGAAAAGGGAAUGUGACCGAGUCCUAGUAUCUGAGCUGCCUACAUAUCCUUGGCUAUAAAAGAAUCAGGUCACGUGUAGUUCAGAAGUAAAUGAGAUGAUGGAGUAUACAGAGGUGGAAAGCCGAUCGAGGUGUCAUUCCAUCGAGGUUCUGGUCUGCGGUCCUGUUAUUACAUCAAAAAUCAAAAAUGAAAAAGACUAACUAAGCUUGUCAACUAUGAGUUAUUCCUAUCUGUAAAUCUUCUAAAGCUUGAUCUUGUGUCUUGAAUAGUUCUUCAUGCAGACUUCAGAUCUGAACCUUGAUGCUCACUAGCUGCAGGUGCUAGUUCAUUCUUCUUCAGCUUUUCGGAUUAGAACUGGACACACCAUGCUUGUGACUUCAGUCAUGUCUUGAGCACUCCACCUCUUGUCUCGACUUCUGCAUUUUUGAUUUUUUUUUUCUAUUUUUUUAGACUACUUUUGUUGGUCACCGAGCAAAGGCUUUAGCCAAAUCGUCCCAUGUGUACCACAUGUUGGCGUCCUGGCGGGUAUACCAUUCUAGAGCUGCCCCCUCAAGCUGUGACUGAAAUACGCCAUCAGUAAUUUGUCUUUUCCCCCAGCGCCUCUCAUCUUACUGCAAUAACCUCUCAGAUGAGCUACAGGGCCCCUAUGUCCGUCAUACAUGUUUAACUUAGGCAUCCUGAACCCGACAAGCAGUUAGACAUCGGGGAAUUAACACAAAUCCUUAUAGGCCACACUCUGGUUUCCAACCGUUGGAUAUUUUUCAGUGAUUGCUCUAGACUCUGUACCUUCCUAAAUAUCUCUUCUUUCUCUGUGUUCUUGGGUGGUUUGUUAAUGUUAACAUGAGGCUCAAAUUGGGGAGUGUAAGGGCAAGUAUCUGGGAUUCUGAAUGUGGGCUCUGGUGCAUAGUAUUGGGUAUCUAGAGUUUGUAAUGCGAUUUUUUUGCCUAGUGGAGCAUGGAAAGUUUGGGAGGAAGUUCGAGGGUAAUUGUGGUAAAGGGUAAAACCCGGUACAUGUUGAGGGAAAGAUUAACGGUAGUGGGAAUCUGGGCUUGUGAUAGUGGUGGGAUGGUUGUAAGGUUUUCAGUAUAGUUAGCGGGGGAAUGAAGAUAGAUGAUGUCCCCUGAUCCAAGACUAAUACAUUUCCGUCAUCUUUGUUUCAACCUUUGGACCUCUUCUUUCAAUUCAGAUUCCGACUUCUCAAUCUCCUUCGAAGGUCAACAACUCUUGCGUCCAAGUCUUUGCUAGCCAUGUGUACCUUACUCUUUGACCUCGUGUUGUAUGGAUGACUCGCUAGAAGGCCAAAACCAACCAUCCUCUGUUAUGAUAACAUUGAAAGUAACAAAGAGGAGCAAACAAAGACAACAUGUUAGCGUUAGGGCAUUAGUAAAAUAAAAAUAUCACAUUGCAUGAAAUGCCCCUAGCAAUAAUUAACAGUUCUAGAAUGGCUUCAAGGGUACGAAGGUCAUAUGACAUCAUCCCAACUUCACUCUUCUUUCCCCAUUUCCUCUUCAUUUUUUUUAACCCUCUUUGGUUUUUCAUUUUCUUUCCUCCCUUUUCUUUUGAUUACCAUUCUUUCCUUUCCACUAAUUUCUUAAAUCCCACAAUUUCAUUCUCUUUUUUUCUUUUUUUUCUUUUUUCUUUUUAAUGCUUCGAUCGAACUCUAUGUAGGUUGUCUACGUAUCAUGUCCUUCAUAAAUCAGAUCAAGCGUAGUUCUUGAAAAGUAAUGGACAAAAUAAACUAAGAAAAUAAUUUUUGUAUUUUCAUUUAUAACUUUUUUUUAAAAUACAAAAUGGGAAGUAAUAUAACAAAUGACUCGAAAAUCUUAACAAGACUGACAGACCCAAUACUACUGUACAAGACUAAUAAUUAAAAGACAACAUGAAUGACAGACUCAAAACAUAAAAGUAUUCUAUAAGCAGCUCUUAAAUGCAGUGGUCCUGGGGUUGUUAUGCUCGAGCUGUGGUACAUUAAUCAUACCAGAAUAAGAAAAAUAAGACCAAAAAGCGUUAAUGACUCAAGACACAUGUGAAGCACGAUACCUCCUACAAAAAAUAACCCAAUUUGCAAUAAUAGCCGAUGUGGCCUAAAGUGGCUAGACAUACGAUUUGGCCAAGACCCUGCAAAGCCAGGAACCUAAGACUAGAAAGAUCGGACCCUAUGUGGGUUGCUUAAGUAUCUCGCCUCGAAAGACGAGAAUCAGGUUCUCGUAUUUCGGAAAGAUAUAACUAAUUUGAAAAAACAUAUAUUUUUGUUUUUUCUUUUUGAAAAAUAAUGAAAAAUGUAAACUCUUUUUGGAUUUUCUUUUUCUCCUUUUUCUUUUAAAUUUUUGGAAAAUGAUAGAAAAUGCAAAAUCUUUUUGGAUUUUCUAUUUUUUAAAAAUAAUAGAAAAGUGUAAAUCUCUUUGAAUUUUUAAUAUAAAAUCUCUUUGGAUUUUCUAUUUUUGGAAAAUAAUGGGAAAGUGUACAAUCUUUUUGGAAUUUUCUUUUACCCCCUUUUUUGAAUUUUUUGAAAAAUAAUGGAAAGUGCAAAAUCUUUUGGGAUUUUUCUUCUUUUUCAUUUUUUGAAUUUUUUUUGGAAAAUAAUGAAAAAGUGUAAAAUCUUUUUUGGAUUUUUCAUUUUCAUUUUUGUAAAUUUUUGGGAGAGUGAUGGCAAAGUGUAAAAUCUUUUGGAUUUUCUAUUUUUAUUUUUUGAAUUUUUGGAAAAUAAUGGAAAAGUAUAAAAUCUUUUUGGAUUUUUUAUUUUUAUUUUUUGAAUUUUUGAAAAAUAUGGAAAAGUGUAAAAUAUUUAUUAUUUUCUAUUUUUAAUUUUUUUGUAGAUUUUUUAAGGACGAUGAAAGAAAAAUGCGAAUGCGCCCUACUUGCUUCAUUUUUCACCCUUCUUCCCAAAUAUCGGUCCACCAAAUGAUAUUUUUACCCUCAAAUAUGCAACAUGUAUCACACAGGGAUAAUUAAUUAUCUUUUUCGGCCAGACAUAAUUUGGAUAGGCCUCCUACAACGGGACACAGUGCUUGGGAUUGUACCCUACUAAGUUUAAAGAUAUGAUGCACAUAAGUAUGACCUAAAGACUUACAUAGGUUGGGGUUCACUAGACAAGGCAAUUUGGGGCGGCACGUGGUCGAUAGCGGCCGCUCUAGCUGUCCGCCCACUCCACGCUCCCACGCCACCCCUUAAGACAGGGGUUACUCCGGAAGGCUUGUUGCAGAAAAAAGACCCAUGGUUAUGAAAAUGAUAGACAAUUUAUAAAGCAGUAACACAUAUAGAAAAAACUGUAAAUAAAUAAGCAUCUAUCAAAUUAUAAAAAAACAUAAACAAAAUAAAAAUCAAAUAAAACAAACAAAACACAUAAAAACCUCAACCGAAAAUCCUAAAAGUCAACAAGAUCAAGUACUAGCUCGAACCCGUAAUUUCUCAGCGGAGUCGCCAGAGAUGUCAUACCCCAUUUUUUUAAUCAAACAAAGUUCAACUAAACCCUCUUAAACAUAUAAAAGAUUUUAGUAAAAGCUUGAAAAGAUUUUCAAUUAGAAAAGUGAAAAAAGAUGUGUUUAAAAGGAUUAACUCAGAGUCACCACCUGACAUUGGAUUUCGGUGUGCCAGGCCACCAGUUCUUCAAAAUAUUUUCCUUUUAAAACAAUUGGACUCAAAACUAAGUCCGCACCAGAGAUUCGGGUAAGGGGUUCAUUUGACUCGGGGAGAAGGUGUGAGACACUUUCCAGGUACCGUGAAGGCCAAAGUUGCGUACUCGAUCAGGUUGGCUUUUAAAACAUUCAAAUUGAGGUAAAACACACCGAAUUAAAGUAAACACACAAGAGGCUCUAGGUCGUCCCCGGCCUAAACAAAAGAAAAUAAAAAGGAAAUGAAGAGAAAAUCCUAAGCUAACCUAUACUACGGCUUCUCCACCAUGCUCGCCAAGGUCUCCAACAUAUUUACAUAGUUCUUCGGGGCAUAUCUCGUAUAAUAAUAUAUACAAACUUCACGAGGCAUUUCCCGAAUAAAUUUAACUACGGAAAUGACCUCUCGCCUCAAACUAACAAAAAUCCUAAAAUUUUCCUACCAAUGUAUGGUCGGCCUAAGCAUGCUCCUAUCGAUCAAAUCAGUAAAAUAAAAUAAUAAAUGUAUAACAUUCAAAUCUCCAUUUAUUUCUUUUAUUCCAGCACCACGUCCCAACUUCAUUUCACUGAUCUUGACCAAAAUUUCUUUUCGAAUGUUUGUCAAGCCACAACCCAUUUUGAUUCGAUGCUUUCAAAGCACUACUUCCUCACUCUUUCUUUUAACUGGGUUAGUAACAAUAAAACGAUUCUACAAUAAUUCUCAAAUGGGAAACAACAGAAAUUCCAACCAGACAAAUGUAUGUAUAAUCUCAAUAACAUAUGGUUUCAAUUCAUAAACACAACAACAAAUACACACAUAGUUGAGGAGAAGAGUAAGAAAUAAACCUCAGUAUAGAUGGAAAUUGAUUACUUCCCCGUUUGAACUCAAAAAUAUGACAAACUGUGGACGGUACUCGAACAAACCAACCCCAAAUAGCAAUUCCAAUCAAUCGGAUCUGAAUCCAGUUCCAACACAUAAAGAAUUUUAGGACCCAAAAUCUGAAAAUAAAAAGAUGAACAGAAUUUUCUUUUCUCAAUUCGUUUUUUGUCUCUUUACUUUCUUUUCCCGUUUGUUUGACUUUGUCUGUGUACAGUUUGGCGAUCAGAUGAGUUGUGUGUGAUUCCUUGGUUUUUGAGUGGAGGAGCUGAUGGUGGGUUCGAGUGGUAAGUGACUGUGUUAUUCCGGCGAGCUUGUCACUGUUUUUACUUGAUUUGCGGCGAACUGUGGUGGUCUCGAUAGCUUUCGCUACCUGAGUUUUGGAGAAGAUGAAGUGACGGGGGUGUCGUUUGGUCGAAGAAUAAUAGCGAUGGGUGCAGGUUCUAUUGCGGUUGUCCUUGGUGCAACUCUACUAUUCAGAUUUUUCGGCCUUCAUUUUUCAGAUUGUCGGCGUUACUUUUGGUCUCUCCCUUGAAAAAGCCGAGCUCCU
Molecule: long non-coding RNA, 7021 nt
Filed under: Nicotiana benthamiana
Lineage: Eukaryota; Viridiplantae; Streptophyta; Magnoliopsida; Solanales; Solanaceae
Description: long non-coding RNA (NBEN_LNC041525)
Source: RNAcentral